GACGAACGCUGGCGGCGUGCCUAAUACAUGCAAGUAGGACGCAGUUGCGAACGGGUGAGUAACGCGUAGGUAACUGCCUAUUAGAGGGGGAUAACUAUUGGAAACGAUAGCUAAUACCGCAUACUAGUAGAUGGACCUGCGUUGUAUUAGCUAGUAGGUAGGGUAAUGGCCUACCUAGGCGACGAUGCAUAGCCGACCUGGGGUGGUGAGAGGGCACACGGGGACUGAGACACGGCCCAGACUCCUACGGGAGUCAGCGGUAGGGAAUCUGCGGCAAUGGGGGGAACCCUGAUCGAUCAACGCCGCGUGAGUGAAGAAGGUUUUCGGAUCGUAAAGCUCUGUUGUUAAGGAAGCGGUACUUAACCAGAAAGGACCGGCUAACUACGUGCCAGCAGCCGCGGUAAUUC
This 407-nucleotide ribosomal RNA is filed under the name uncultured bacterium. RNAcentral's name for it is "partial 16S ribosomal RNA". It matches the Rfam family "Bacterial small subunit ribosomal RNA", at positions 28 to 526 of the family's 1533-position model. The record is from RNAcentral.